Molecule: ribosomal RNA, 597 nt
Filed under: Triticum aestivum (bread wheat)
Lineage: Eukaryota; Viridiplantae; Streptophyta; Magnoliopsida; Poales; Poaceae
Description: partial small subunit ribosomal RNA
Source: RNAcentral
AUGGAUUCACAUGUGCAUGGCAAUAAGCAAGCGGAGUAUGAAAGGUUGUUUCAUGAAGCCCGCCAGGAGAUCGACGCGAAGGACCGCGAGGUCAUGGAAAAGAAAUUCCAGCUGGCGUACAAGGAGAUGCAGCUUAAAUUGCAAAAGGACCGGAAGGUUGUCGACGGCCUUAUACAGACAGAGCGUAUCAACAUGGAUGUGAAUGUGUUGCAGGCACGUGCCAAUAUGGACAUUAGGCUGCAACAUGAGCGCAAGGACAUGGACUACAAGGCUAUGGUGGAGCAGGUUAUGAAUGAAGGAAAGAUAAUGGAAGACCGUACGCACAUCCCAGUGACGGAACAAUCCAGAAUCCUCACAGAUAAAGUUUACAUCCCAUAUAAUAAUAAGGUGCUGGUAAUGGAAUUUUACAUUCAUAGGGAUUGUGAGCUUUCGCAUGUCCUGAUAGGAUACUUUGACGAAAGACCCAUUGAGAUGAGAUUGUUUGACCCCAGCGUAUUGGACUGUGAUUUUCUCAUGAAAGAAGUGACUGGAUAUGGUUAUAAAAAGGAUUUAGAUUUUUACCACUUCUUACCUGAGCAUGCGUGCAAUCUACCAUAA